Molecule: long non-coding RNA, 294 nt
Organism: Pseudophryne corroboree (corroboree frog)
Lineage: Eukaryota; Metazoa; Chordata; Amphibia; Anura; Myobatrachidae
Exons: 3
Source: RefSeq, a predicted model, not a curated record
CAUAAUUACAACAUUUGUGACCAGAACAUCUGAUCCAAUAACACACACUAUCCUGCUAACUCAACCAUGUGCUGUCAGUACACACAUGCAUGCUGAUGGUUUUACCUGGGCUCCCCAACCGGUGCAUGCUUGCUCCACUGGUCAUCCAGCCUAUUGAGGAAGCUCAAAUUCAUGAAAAUUCAAUGACAUGAGCAGUCAACAGAGUCCUAAAAAUAACAUGAAAACAUUUCACCUUAAACCUACUCAAGAACAAAAGUACAAUUUAAUAUACUGUAUUUACCGCUGUUGAGAAAA